This 28-nucleotide non-coding RNA is filed under the name Mus musculus (house mouse). Lineage: Eukaryota; Metazoa; Chordata; Mammalia; Rodentia; Muridae. The record is from RNAcentral.
UCUCUAGCUUGUUCUGGAAGGUGAUCUG